AGGUUACAAGAUCCCAGUUAUUGAGAACCUUGGAGCAACUUUGGUAAGCUUAGCAAAUCAAACAUGCAUACUGUACCAGAUUUUCAGGCUAGGCUUGGGCAGUUUUCGGGAAAAAAAGAAAACAGUUGCAAACGAAAACAGAUAAAACCGGUUUUUCUCUGCCGUCCUGAUGCUUAAAACCCCUUUAAUUAUGUCAUUGAAUUUUUCCAAAAAGACGCAAAAAACGGACUGCGAAAAAUAAUACCAAGGUCAAUAUUACAGUUUUUUCUUGCUUCUCUAAAAUACUUCAUAACUAAAACGAGGAAGCCAACACCAAGAAAAGAAGAUUGGCUACAGGCUAUCCAUGCGCAUUCUGAUCAAGGUUUGUCGCUUUUCAGUCUCGUGUACACAUGUAGGUCUCGCAUAUUGUACGAAUAAAUGGCGAUUUUCCAAUAUAGGCGAAACCGUAAAUUAAACUGGUUUUAAAAAAUCCCCAGUGGUCAAUGCUUAUGCUUUUUCACUUUUUCCUGCAAUGUGCAGUUUUCUCAUUACCCAAUCCGUACUUAAUUUCGCGCAUCCUUAAUUUCGCGAUUUUUGAAGGCAAUAUUUUAGAUAUAUUGUAUUAUAGAGACUUUGUUUUUCCUAGGCGAAAAUAGAAAAGCGGCAUUAAAUUUUGCGAAAGCUUUCUGAGCAACAUUUUAUUUUCUACAAAAAAAUUUACUGUAACGUUCAAUACCAGUCAACAUAAGGUAUAUAUUGUGUGUACGGUAGUCAUCAUUCUUGCGGGUAACAAGACAAAAUGCAAACUGUAGCAUUUUGUUAUUUAUGUCGAUAUAUUGAGCUUCACAUGUUUUUGAUCAUAUUGAUCAAGAAUUUUAUUAUUCCAAUUUUUGACUAGGGUGUUUAAUUUCGCAUGUGUAAAUUCCUCGCUGCAAACACAUGACAUUGAUGUGAAAAGAGUCAGUUAUUCCUCUGCCGAAAGUUGUGGGUUUUCUCCGAGUACUCAAUUUCCCCCCACACGGAAUUUUGACAGGGUGGGUUGGGACUAGACCCUAACUGACCCUUCUAUUGUACAGUAGCUGUGCCAUGUGAUCAGACAUGUGUCAUUUUAAGGUAGCAGCGUUUGAAAGCUGUGUGCUUCGCAUUUCAGCUUAGCUUUCAGCUGCACACCACCAGUAAUUCCCUUACUAAGAGUCUAGGGAAGUCCAAUACAGAUCUAGGAAAUAUAUUUCUCUUCCUGGAAGCAAAAUCCAAAAGUUAGAAUUUCUUGUGUAAGUCAAUUAUAAAACUUCCUGCGUAUGUAGACCUCAGAGAGCGUAUAUGGUGCCACACAGGGUGAUAUAAUCAUGGCACAAGACAAUCUCGACUUGCAAAAACGCUUUUGUAAAUAAUAAGUGAAUCACAUGGCAUUCCAGUAUAAAAGAUGACAGAAAUUCCUGCGAAGAUAUUUUGUUAAACAUUUCCUGGUAGUGCUGCUGCUAGCAGGUGCUGCCGGACAUUUUGCAGCACUGAUCCAAUUCUAAACAGAACAUUUGAAGAGUAUAAAUUUAACAAACAGUACUCUGCUACUUAAAUCAUCAGGCAUUAUAGUGAGUCGAUCAAAUAAGCAAGUGAUACUGUAUUAUAUAGCAACUGUGAUUCGUAAAGUGCAUCUUAAUAUAGUUCAAUGCAUUGACAUGUGGGUUUUUUCUUAGGAUCAGUUUGACACAAUAAAUUUUUCGGAUAAUGAUAUCAAGAAGUUGGAAGGAUUUCCAUUGUUGAAGAGACUGAAAUGUUUGUUAGUCAACAACAACAGAGUAUGGUGAGUAUUAUAACGAAAUUUAUAACUAGAUUUUAUAUCAAAGCCUAAGAUCCCUAUUCAUGAACAGUACAGUAUGGGCAGAAUUAGAAAGUUCAAACAUUUAUGUUAAGAAAUAUUUGCAGUAUAUUACAGUAGAGUGUAUAAAAAAUCUUAGUCCUUAUUUCAAACACAGAUUUCGGCAAGUAUAAAAUGGCAGAACUUUUGGGCAGGUAGGUGCAUGAUUGAGAUGGAAAAAUAAAACACUAGAGACAUUAAUACAUAACUAUUAACUAAACUAAACUAAAAACAAUACAAUACAAACUGCAGGGCCACCAGCAAAUUAAGUUGCUGUAUACAUGUCAAGUUAGUUUUCCAUUCGAUAGGUUAGGUCAGGUGUAAGAGUAUCGUGCAUGUUUGUUUCGUCUAUGCCCUUAGAUUUUCGUAGCCCAUGGCUAAAGUACAGUAAGCAUAAUGUAGGUUAAAGUAAACGUGCCCAUGUAUAGUAGUCUUGAGAGUUACGUGUAUUGAGAUCUAAUGGUUUUUAUGCAUAUAUAUAUUUUGACUGCAAGUAUGGAUGGACAAGGCCAAGGUAAGGUUCCUGUUAAACUUGAUGAAUGGCGUCACCCAGAAAUAUUCCUUAAUACAUGUCAUUACCACUGAAUGAUAAGUCCUCACAGAGUUGGAUGACUGCACGUUAAGUUGUGUUCUAUUUGUAUAAUACAGUUUAUAACCUUCAAAUAAUCGGUUCAUGUCGAUUUAAUUCCAUUGGCCUCAUUAUCACGAUUUGGGUUAAAUGAGCUGCAAUUAGGAUGCGAUUAAGAUUUUAACGGAUGGAAUUUAAUGAGAACCAAACCAUGCCAUGGAAGAAAACGUACAAUGAAACGCCAGUGAACUCUACCGGGUGUCCCAAAAAAAACUUGCGCUGUUUGAUUUAAUGUAACAUAAGAACUAUACAAGCUAUUGCACUCAAAUAAGUUGUAUUGCAUUCAGAAAGGGCUAACUUAGAUUUUGAUAUAUAACAUUUGAAUAUCCGUGCAAUCUUUACUGAGCUAUCGAUGUUUUAAAUCGAAUAAGCAUAUUUGACAAUGUUAAAAAAUUGCAUAAAAUUGCCAAUCAAAUAUUAUUUGGUUAAACUUGAUUAAUAUAUAGUUUUAUUGUGGCCAAAAGAACGAAUAAAAAACAUAAUUGUUGGAUAAACAUUUAUUCAUUUAUCAUAGAAAGUAUGUCCCCUUGCACGUACAGUAUACAAUGUCUUGCACGGGAAAACAUAAAAGCCAAACUUUUUCAUCUUUUGUUAAUCGAAGCAUAUUCAAAAGGCGAACGAGGACCAACUUUACAAUACGAAC
RNAcentral lists this long non-coding RNA (3105 nucleotides) under Paramuricea clavata. Lineage: Eukaryota; Metazoa; Cnidaria; Anthozoa; Malacalcyonacea; Plexauridae. The record is from RNAcentral.